CAGGCGUGAGCCACCGCACCCGGCCGGAGAGAGAAAAUUUAAAAGACGUAGUUUCAUUAUUUCUUUUAUUUUUGCCCUUUAUCUAGUUUUACUUAUGAACAUUUUUACCACAAAUUUCUCUCUCUCUAAAUCUGUAAAUAUGCUGCUAUUAUUGUUAUUUCAGAGCCUGUGAGGGUAAGUUGCAGACAGCAUGACCCUCUACCUCCAGAUGUGUCAGGGUGUGUCUCCUGGGCACAAGAACAGGGUUUUUGUUUUGUUUUGUUUCACAUAAGCAAAGUACAAGUCUCAAAGAGGAUAAUAUUUUUAAAUCAUCUUAUUGGGACAUACUUUGCAUGCAAUAAACUGCAUCUAUUUAAAAUGUUCAACUUGUUGAAUUUUAGCUGUUGUACACACCCACAUCUCCACUACCACAGUGAAGAUAAAGAAGAUUUUAAUCGUCUCCCAAAGAACAGCUACACGAUAAAAUUCUAUGUUGUCAUUAAAAAGAGUAAGAGCAAUUUUAAGUAUUGCUAUGAAAAGAUGUGCCCAGCAUACUUUUAACCUUUUUUAAAAGGUUAAGGAGGCUGGGCACAGUGGCUCAUACCUGUAAUCCCAGAACUUUGGGAGGCUAUGGCAGGCAGAUAACCUGAGGUCAGAAGUUCAAGAUCAGCCUGGCCAACAUGGUGAAACCCUGUCUCUACUGAAAAUGCAAAAAUUAGCCGGGCGUGGUGGUGGGUGCCUGUAGUUCCAGCUGUUUGGGAGGCUGAGGCAGGAGAAUCGCUUGAAUCUGGGAGGUAGAGGUUAGAGUGAGCCGAGAUCAUGCCACUGCAUUCCAGCCUGGGCGAAAAUGCCACUAAUAUCACUUACAUAAUAUUAAUAUAUAUUUGAAGUAGGGGAAAACCUGGAAGAUUCCUCACCAAAGUUUUGACAGUGACUCCAGAGACUGGGAUAACUUUGUGACUUUCAUUUCCUCUUAAAUGUUGUGCCAGGGUCUGACCGGCAGACCCAGGCUGCACGAUGGAUGAAUAAUGUACUCAGACACCGAUAUUCAGUGAAAGAGUGCACCAGAGGGCCAGGCCACUCACAGAAAGGGUUGUGGCAGCUGCGUGCCCUGACUAUCUGGCCCUGUGGGCCUUUAUUCAGCACAGAUUUAAUGACAAAGGCUUUGAGUCAACACACCUGUGGGUAAUUAAUCUGGUCGCAGUCCCCCGGAGAGAGCAGUCCUACAAAUGAUCAAAGGAGCUGGGACAGUUAUAUUCAUCAGAACAGCACGGUGUCAAGGCCCUCACCCCCAGAAAGCUUAGGAGACACUGUUUUAUGGAGGAGAGUGAGAUUGGAGGAAGCCCUGACUCCAGGUCUCCUGAUCCUUCCUACACAAAGCGAAGCUGAAAAAAAGUGCAGGACACUCCAUUUCCUCCUGGGACCAGACAGGGAAGCCAGAGCCACCAUGGAUGUCAAAUUCCGGCAAGGAAACACCAGUAUAGCAAAAUCUCCACAUCACAUUUUAAAGCUCACACAAUGGCUCAAAGAGAACCCACAUCAAAAAACCGAAUUCCUAGCUCAGGUGAGAUCACCAAAGUUGCCUGUGAGGCUUCGUGGAACCUGCAGGUAGAAAGGACAUCUUUAUUUCGAGCUGCAGCCCAGUUGCUUCUGCGUCUUGGAGCCCCUUGAAAGGACCCUCUCCCUUCAACAGUACAUAGGGAGGCCAUUUCUGGGGAGAAAUGUAGACUGUCCUUAGACUCCUGAGGUUUUUACACUUGCUUGCUGACUCUGUGGACUUUGACUUCAUCAUUAAACAUCUUAUAAUGAUGUAAUUUGCUUUGACUGUAAGUGUAGAACAGGACGCUGUUCCUGAAUCAGGAAACAAGGGACUGGUGACCUGAACUGCCACCACCCUCCCUGGUGCUCAGAUGCAAUGAAAUCGUGAGGCAACAAAUCUAUGGCUAGGUAAAGGGUCAACUCCAUUUCAGCAAAUGUUUCAGAUGUUCCUUCCUGCCUAGUAAUGUUCCAGCUUUACCCCAGCCUUAAUCUUUUAAAAUGUAUAUUUUCCUUAGCGUUGAUUUUAAAGUAAUUCGUAUGUAUUUAUUACACUGGGUUUGUUGCAGUAAGCCACCUCGAAUGUUGCUGUAGAAUUAAAGUAAGCAAAUAAAUGUGUGGUUCUCCAAGGA
This 2147-nucleotide long non-coding RNA is filed under the name Homo sapiens (human). RNAcentral's name for it is "PREDICTED lncRNA (TCONS_00229905)". Lineage: Eukaryota; Metazoa; Chordata; Mammalia; Primates; Hominidae. The record is from RNAcentral.